AUACGUAGGGUGCACGCGUUAAUCGGAAUUACUGGGCGUAAAGCGUGCGCAGGCGGUUUUGUAAGACAGUGGUGAAAUCCCCGGGCUCAACCUGGGAACUGCCAUUGUGACUGCAAGGGUGGAGGGCGGCAGAGGGGGGUGGAAUUCCGCGUGUAGCAGGGAAAUGCGUAGAUAUGCGGAGGAACACCGAUGGCGAAGGCAAUCCCCUGGGCCUGCACUGACGCUCAUGCACGAAAGCGUGGGGAGCAAACAGGAUUAGAUACCCUGGUAGUCCACGCCCUAAACGAUGUCAACUGGUUGUUGGGGAUUUAUUUUCUCAGUAACGAAGCUAACGCGUGAAGUUGACCGCCUGGGGAGUACGGCCGCAAGGUUAAAACUCAAAGGAAUUGACGGGG
This 395-nucleotide ribosomal RNA is filed under the name uncultured bacterium. Its description in RNAcentral is "partial 16S ribosomal RNA". It matches the Rfam family "Bacterial small subunit ribosomal RNA", at positions 523 to 918 of the family's 1533-position model. The record is from RNAcentral.